Molecule: long non-coding RNA, 652 nt
Organism: Ornithodoros turicata
Lineage: Eukaryota; Metazoa; Arthropoda; Arachnida; Ixodida; Argasidae
Exons: 2
Source: RefSeq, a predicted model, not a curated record
UUCCACCCGACAUUGCAUUAGACACUGGUGAGGGGAUGUCGUGAAGGAACUCUUCAGGGGUCGACCGGUCAUAUACUUGCCCGAAACCAGCUCGAACUUGACGUCUUCGUCAUCGCAUGCUGCAUCAGAAGUCAAGUUUUGCGUUACGCAAGUGCAUUGGUCUUGGUCGACAAUACGCACAGAAACAGAGCACGAACAGGAAUCCGCAACACUCGCAAGCAUGUCCCACGAAAACGACGACGAACGCGAAGAUGACGACGUCAGCGACAGUGGAUGCUCGGCUGAGCAAGGUGGCACCUAUGGUCGCACAUCUUCUGCACCAGGAGGCAGACAACAGGAUACAUGGCAACCUUCCUAUUAUUCAUGCUUCAUGAGACCGUCACCGUCCAUGCAUGCUCCAAACGCUCGGUCCCGUCGUCAAAUUUUCUCCUACUUUCCCUAUCUCGGUCGUCCCAGGAUAUUGCGACUGGUCAGGGUGGCCAGUUGCAGCGGACCGAACUGCUACACAAUUCCAGUUGUGGGAGGAGGCCUUCCUAGAGCCGUUACUACUGCAAAGUCUAUUGGGUAGACCAGCAGAACUACACGCUGGAAUUCCGUUUUUCAAUUUUGGUUGUGGUGGAGGGAUUCCAAUAAAAGUAACCGUACAAAAAUA